This 1139-nucleotide long non-coding RNA is filed under the name Helianthus annuus (common sunflower). RNAcentral's name for it is "hypothetical non coding rna". Lineage: Eukaryota; Viridiplantae; Streptophyta; Magnoliopsida; Asterales; Asteraceae. The record is from RNAcentral.
UUUUUAUAUUUUAGUUAUUGGACAAAGUUAAGAAAUAUUUCUUAGUUAUAUAUAUUUUGCUGUGGUUUAAAUAAAAAAUUAUAAUACUAACAACCCAUACUAAAAAAUGGUAUGACCCAUCUUACCAAAAGAAAACCGAUUGAGGAUUGACCGAGUUACUUUUGACCCUAAACCUCCUUGUUCAAGCUUACCGAGUACUCUCAAAUUCAAAAUUUGUAUCUCUUUUAAACUAAUCAACCGAUAUUUUGGGGAUGACUACUCGAUCAUCAACCGAUUUAUACCCAUUCAGGCUCUUUCUUUACCCUCAUUUUCAUCAGUCAUCCAUCGUACCUCUGUUUCCGUUAGAGCUAGCAACCGCCACACCUCGUCUACCACAAUAAAUUCCGUCAUUCGAAUCCUCCAAUCUGCAACCAGGUACCACGUUGAUGAUCACUUAUAAUCAUUUUAUUAGCCAUACUAAGUUCUGUUAAUCACCAAUCCUGCUUAGCCUUACUUUUGUUGAUAUCUAAUUGAGUAAUUGUGUUUCAACGACUUUGACAACCGCCACACAACCACUCCAAGUUCUCGCCGCCACAAUCAAACCUUCAACUCACGAUUCAGCAACCGCACCACUACCGCUCACCAUAGUUCGGUUCCGACUUCCGUGUGACCAUCCGAACCGCUAAUUGUGUCUCCGGUUGGCUCUGUUCUAUUAUUAAGGAUGGUGAACAGGCAAACGACGACAUUAGUCAUCGUGAAAAGGCUAGGUUAAAGGAAAUGCAAAGGUUGAAAAGAUAAAAGAUACAAGAUAUACUGGUUCAACAAAAUGCUUGUAUUGAGGCUGAUAUAGUGAUAUGAAUAACAAGGGAAAAGGAAAAUUGAAGUUGAAGGGAAGGGGUCGUCAUGCAUCGAAAAUGACUGAAGAAGAAUGAGGUGUAUCUUAAGGAGGAAGAAGAUGGCUUGUCUGGAACAGGACAUACACGUUUGUUAGUGCAGCCAUCUUGUAAGUUCCUAUCUUUUUUAUGUGUUUUUUUUUGUUACAGUGCUUCACUUGGAGGUCGUUAUAUACUAGGUUAUAGACUCAUGUAUUACAUGAGUUCUUCGGAAAAAUUGUGCUUUCCAUUUAUAUAAACUUGAAUGAUUUUUUAAAAAUAAAUAUU